Fukomys damarensis (Damara mole-rat) is the source of this 892-nucleotide non-coding RNA. The record is from the annotation of a RefSeq genome assembly. NCBI's taxonomy places the organism in Eukaryota, Metazoa, Chordata, Mammalia, Rodentia, Bathyergidae.
UGCCCAGGGCCCAGGUGUCCCGAGAGAGCAGACUUGGAGCGUCUCCACCAUGGCCUGGGCUCUGCUUCUGCUCACGAUUCUCACUCAGGACACAGGAUGCUGGGCGCAGUCUGCUCUGACUCAGCCUCCCUCAGUCUCUGGGUCUCCUGGAGAGAAGGUCACCCUCACCUGUAUUGGAACCAGCAGUGACAUUGGGGGCUAUAAUUAUGUCUCCUGGUACCAGCAGCUGCCAGGAACAGCCCCCAAACCUCUGAUAUAUAGUGUGAGUAAUCGGCCUUCAGGGAUCCCUGAUCGCUUCUCUGGCUCCAAGUCUGGCAACACGGCCUCCCUGAUCAUCUCUGGCCUCGCGCCUGAUGAUGAGGCUGAUUAUUACUGCUUUUCAUAUGCGGGCAGUAGCACUUGGGUGUUCGGUGGAGGGACCAAGCUGACCGUCCUAGGUCAGCCCAAGGCCAGCCCCUCAGUCACCCUGUUCCCACCUUCCACUGAGGAGCUCGGGACAGACAAGGCCACAGUGGUGUGUCUCAUCAAUGACUUCUACCCGGGCGUUGUGACGGUGGCCUGGAAAGCAGAUGGCAAAGACGUCACCCAGGGAGUGCAGACCACGCAGGCCACCAAACAGAGCAACAACAAGUACAUGGCCAGCAGCUACCUGAGCCUGACUGCAGACCAGUGGCGUUCGCACACAAGAGUCGGCUGCCACGUCACACAUGAAGGCAGCACAGUGGAGAAGAGUCUGGCCCCUGCGGAGUGUUCCUAGCACCUGACCAUCACGCCAUCCUUGGGGGACUAAAGCACGGGGACCCCGGGGAAGAGUCCCCUUCCCGACCCCACCCACCCAUUCCUGCCUUGCUCUCUGAACCCAUAAAUGCUCAAUAAAAUAUCCCCUCUCAAU